GUUGACACAGCAUGACGAAUUACGUGCAAGGGACACGGAAUAUACUGUAGAAUAACCUUAUUGUUCUUCAUAUUCACUCUUUUGACUGAGAGACCAUUUAAAGGCUCAGGAAACCUUUGCAGGUGUUUUAAGUAUGCAGAGAAAAUUCUUGCUGGAGAGCCUCUUCAAUUUUCAAAUGACCCCUCUGCGGCUGAAAAAUACAGAAAACAGGUGGCGUUGACACUCCUAAACGAGACAGAUGACCUCAGUGAGCUUUGCCACUAUUGUGGGGAGAAGGAUGCAGGGCAAGGAAGGACAACUGCCAAAAAAAAAGAAAAUGCUUGGGUCCAGUGUGACGUGUGUGACCGAUGGUUCCACAUACAGUGCGCUAAAAUGGUGGACCCCAGGAAGUACUUCAGCUGUGCUGCAUGCCAGUUUGUGCCUCCAGAUUAAAAUUCUACUGCAUUUUCUUUUGCAAACAUGCAAAAAAGUAAUAAAGUAAUGUGCAAGACUUGCGCUUAAUUGAUGUGGUUACUGUGAUUGUGUAGGUUUAUGUACUUAUUUUAAGGUACAUGAUAAUCAAAUGCUUCUGAAAUGCACCAUAAUAUAUAUUUUUUUAAUAAUUAUUUUGCUGUUUUGAAAAAUAAAGUUUAAUAAAAUACACUUAAA
This is a long non-coding RNA of Triplophysa dalaica, 648 nucleotides long. RefSeq lists it as uncharacterized. The transcript has 5 exons. NCBI's taxonomy places the organism in Eukaryota, Metazoa, Chordata, Actinopteri, Cypriniformes, Nemacheilidae. The record is from RefSeq and is a predicted model, not a curated record.